RNAcentral lists this ribosomal RNA (282 nucleotides) under uncultured bacterium. RNAcentral's name for it is "partial 16S ribosomal RNA". It matches the Rfam family "Bacterial small subunit ribosomal RNA", at positions 779 to 1058 of the family's 1533-position model. The record is from RNAcentral.
UAGAUACCCGCGUAGUCCAUGCCGUAAACGAUGUGUGCUAGACGUUGGAAAUAUAUUUUUCAGUGUCGCAGCGAAAGCAUUAAGCACACCGCCUGGGGAGUACGACCGCAAGGUUAAAACUCAAAUGAAUUGACGGGGACCCGCACAAGCAGUGGAGCAUGUGGUUUAAUUCGAAGAUACGCGCAGAACCUUACCAACACUUGACAUGUUCGUCGCGAGACUAAGAGAUUAGUCUUUUCAGUUCGGCUGGACGAAACACAGGUGCUGCAUGGCCGCCGUCAG